GUACUCUCACACUCUACAAUUCUUUGGAUUGGGAGCGGUGGACUUGGGUGUUGCCGCUUUACUGUGGCUCACCUCAAAUGUGUUAGUGCAACUCUUGGUUGGACAUAGUACGGCGUGAUAAGUAUCUUCGCCGGCGCCUCGCAAGAGGGUGGCCAAUCGGUAGCUCUGUGCUUCCAACCGUCUUCGGACAAUCUCUGACA
This 200-nucleotide unclassified non-coding RNA is filed under the name uncultured Sebacina. Its description in RNAcentral is "sequence contains ITS2". Lineage: Eukaryota; Fungi; Basidiomycota; Agaricomycetes; Sebacinales; Sebacinaceae. The record is from RNAcentral.